GGGUAUAUAGCUCAGUGGUAGAGUGCAUGCCUAGCAUGCACGAGGUCCUGGGUUCAAUCCCUUGUACUUCCA
RNAcentral lists this transfer RNA (72 nucleotides) under Camelus bactrianus (Bactrian camel). It matches the Rfam family "tRNA". Rfam says of the family: Transfer RNA (tRNA) molecules are approximately 80 nucleotides in length. Their secondary structure includes four short double-helical elements and three loops (D, anti-codon, and T loops). The record is from Rfam by way of RNAcentral. RNAcentral also lists the same sequence under 2 other names. Lineage: Eukaryota; Metazoa; Chordata; Mammalia; Artiodactyla; Camelidae.